RNAcentral lists this ribosomal RNA (624 nucleotides) under uncultured Actinomycetes bacterium. Its description in RNAcentral is "bacterial SSU rRNA". It matches the Rfam family "Bacterial small subunit ribosomal RNA", at positions 338 to 975 of the family's 1533-position model. The record is from RNAcentral. Lineage: Bacteria; Bacillati; Actinomycetota; Actinomycetes.
CCUACGGGAGGCAGCAGUGGGGAAUCUUGCGCAAUGGGCGAAAGCCUGACGCAGCAACGCCGCGUGCGGGAUGAAGGCCUUCGGGUUGUAAACCGCUUUCAGUGGGGACGAACCAAGACGGUACCCACAGAAGAAGGUCCGGCCAACUACGUGCCAGCAGCCGCGGUAACACGUAGGGACCAAGCGUUGUCCGGAUUCAUUGGGCGUAAAGAGCUCGUAGGCGGUUCGAUAAGUCGGGUGUGAAACCUCCAGGCUCAACCUGGAGACGCCACCCGAUACUGUCGUGACUAGAGUCCAGUAGGGGAGCGUGGAAUUCCUGGUGUAGCGGUGAAAUGCGCAGAUAUCAGGAGGAACACCAGCGGCGAAGGCGGCGCUCUGGGCUGGAACUGACGCUGAGGAGCGAAAGCGUGGGGAGCGAACAGGAUUAGAUACCCUGGUAGUCCACGCCGUAAACGUUGGGUACUAGGUGUGGGGUCUUAUCAACGGAUUCCGUGCCGAAGCUAACGCAUUAAGUACCCCGCCUGGGGAGUACGGCCGCAAGGCUAAAACUCAAAGGAAUUGACGGGGGCCCGCACAAGCAGCGGAGCAUGUUGCUUAAUUCGAGGCAACGCGAAGAACCUUACA